RNAcentral lists this ribosomal RNA (465 nucleotides) under uncultured Klebsiella sp. Its description in RNAcentral is "bacterial SSU rRNA". It matches the Rfam family "Bacterial small subunit ribosomal RNA", at positions 338 to 795 of the family's 1533-position model. Lineage: Bacteria; Pseudomonadati; Pseudomonadota; Gammaproteobacteria; Enterobacterales; Enterobacteriaceae. The record is from RNAcentral.
CCUACGGGAGGCUGCAGUGGGGAAUAUUGCACAAUGGGCGCAAGCCUGAUGCAGCCAUGCCGCGUGUGUGAAGAAGGCCUUCGGGUUGUAAAGCACUUUCAGCGGGGAGGAAGGCGUUAAGGUUAAUAACCUUGGCGAUUGACGUUACCCGCAGAAGAAGCACCGGCUAACUCCGUGCCAGCAGCCGCGGUAAUACGGAGGGUGCAAGCGUUAAUCGGAAUUACUGGGCGUAAAGCGCACGCAGGCGGUCUGUCAAGUCGGAUGUGAAAUCCCCGGGCUCAACCGGGGAACUGCAUUCGAAACUGGCAGGCUAGAGUCUUGUAGAGGGGGGUAGAAUUCCAGGUGUAGCGGUGAAAUGCGUAGAGAUCUGGAGGAAUACCGGUGGCGAAGGCGGCCCCCUGGACAAAGACUGACGCUCAGGUGCGAAAGCGUGGGGAGCAAACAGGAUUAGAUACCCUAGUAGUC